This 61-nucleotide small RNA is filed under the name Salmonella enterica subsp. enterica serovar Heidelberg. Its description in RNAcentral is "partial RtT sRNA". It matches the Rfam family "RtT RNA", at positions 1 to 61 of the family's 130-position model. Rfam says of the family: This family represents a bacterial cis-regulatory element known as RtT RNA. The exact function of RtT is unknown although it is thought that it may be involved in changing the cellular response in relation to amino acid starvation. RNAcentral also lists the same sequence under 9 other names. The record is from RNAcentral. Lineage: Bacteria; Pseudomonadati; Pseudomonadota; Gammaproteobacteria; Enterobacterales; Enterobacteriaceae.
AUAUCUCUCCGUACGGGAAGGAUGAGAAGCUUCGACUAAGGUUCGAUUCGAGCGCAGCGAG